This 254-nucleotide ribosomal RNA is filed under the name uncultured bacterium. RNAcentral describes it as "partial 16S ribosomal RNA". It matches the Rfam family "Bacterial small subunit ribosomal RNA", at positions 99 to 352 of the family's 1533-position model. The record is from RNAcentral.
CGGACGGGUGAGUAAUGUCUGGGAAACUGCCUGAUGGAGGGGGAUAACUACUGGAAACGGUAGCUAAUACCGCAUAACGUCGCAAGACCAAAGAGGGGGACCUUCGGGCCUCUUGCCAUCGGAUGUGCCCAGAUGGGAUUAGCUAGUAGGUGGGGUAACGGCUCACCUAGGCGACGAUCCCUAGCUGGUCUGAGAGGAUGACCAGCCACACUGGAACUGAGACACGGUCCAGACUCCUACGGGAGGCAGCCAUG